This 270-nucleotide long non-coding RNA is filed under the name Manihot esculenta (cassava). Its description in RNAcentral is "long non-coding RNA (MESC_LNC009760)". The record is from RNAcentral. Lineage: Eukaryota; Viridiplantae; Streptophyta; Magnoliopsida; Malpighiales; Euphorbiaceae.
UUUUCCAGACAGUUCUAGAGAACUGAAGAUGAUUGAGUUUGAACAACUGAGGCAGUCAGAGCACAUGGGUGUAGAGGAGUUCACGGAUAAAUUCUUGGAGCUAUUGCCUUUUUCAGGGCAAGCUCUAGAUACAGAUACGAAGAAAGCCAAGAAAUAUGUUAUGAAGCUGCAUUCCAGGUACUCCUCGUUGGUUCAGUCAGCUGAGAGAGAAAGUUUCCACACUGUGGUGGAUAUGGCUCGAAGAAUGGAGGCAAGUGCUAUAGUUGAGGG